RNAcentral lists this small RNA (63 nucleotides) under Salmonella enterica. Its description in RNAcentral is "partial RtT sRNA". It matches the Rfam family "RtT RNA", at positions 69 to 130 of the family's 130-position model. From Rfam's summary of the family: This family represents a bacterial cis-regulatory element known as RtT RNA. The exact function of RtT is unknown although it is thought that it may be involved in changing the cellular response in relation to amino acid starvation. Lineage: Bacteria; Pseudomonadati; Pseudomonadota; Gammaproteobacteria; Enterobacterales; Enterobacteriaceae. The record is from RNAcentral.
UGCCGCAGGCAACGGCCCGAAGGGCGAAGCGCGCAGCGCUGAGUAAUCUCUCCCCCACCACCA